AACUUUCAACAACGGAUCUCUUGGUUCUGGCAUCGAUGAAGAAAGCAGCAUAAUGCGAUAAGUAAUGUGAAUUGCAGAAUUCAGUGAAUCAUCGAAUCUUUGAACGCACAUUGCGCCCGCCAGUAUUCUGGCGGGUUGCCUGUUCGAGCGUCAUUU
This 156-nucleotide ribosomal RNA is filed under the name Fusarium equiseti. RNAcentral describes it as "5.8S ribosomal RNA". It matches the Rfam family "5.8S ribosomal RNA". Rfam says of the family: 5.8S ribosomal RNA (5.8S rRNA) is a component of the large subunit of the eukaryotic ribosome. It is transcribed by RNA polymerase I as part of the 45S precursor that also contains 18S and 28S rRNA. Functionally, it is thought that 5.8S rRNA may be involved in ribosome translocation. Lineage: Eukaryota; Fungi; Ascomycota; Sordariomycetes; Hypocreales; Nectriaceae. The record is from RNAcentral.